GUGCUCACUUUGGCAGAACACAUACUAAAAUUUGAAUAAUGCAAAGAUUAACAUGUCUGCUGCACAAGGAUGACACGCAAAUUCGUUGUGUUCCACACUUUUAU
Non-coding RNA from Myotis brandtii (Brandt's bat), 104 nucleotides. Lineage: Eukaryota; Metazoa; Chordata; Mammalia; Chiroptera; Vespertilionidae. The record is from Rfam.